UGGGGAAUAUUGGACAAUGGGGGCAACCCUGAUCCAGCAAUGCCGCGUGUGUGAAGAAGGUCUUCGGAUUGUAAAGCACUUUCGACGGGGACGAUGAUGACGGUACCCGUAGAAGAAGCCCCGGCUAACUUCGUGCCAGCAGCCGCGGUAAUACGAAGGGGGCUAGCGUUGCUCGGAAUGACUGGGCGUAAAGGGCGUGUAGGCGGUUUACACAGUCAGAUGUGAAAUCCCCGGGCUUAACCUGGGAGCUGCAUUUGAUACGUGUAGACUAGAGUGUGAGAGAGGGUUGUGGAAUUCCCAGUGUAGAGGUGAAAUUCGUAGAUAU
RNAcentral lists this ribosomal RNA (325 nucleotides) under uncultured bacterium. RNAcentral's name for it is "partial 16S ribosomal RNA". It matches the Rfam family "Bacterial small subunit ribosomal RNA", at positions 355 to 697 of the family's 1533-position model. The record is from RNAcentral.